CCUGCCCCUAGAGGUGUUGCAGGUGUAGCUGCUGUGUCACAUGUGUGUCAGUAGGGAAGUGAGAAGAGAGGCUACAUCUAAGCUCAGUGCUCUGACUUAUGAACAUCUGAAUGAUUAGAAAUCUAGCAUU
Molecule: non-coding RNA, 130 nt
Organism: Arvicanthis niloticus (Nile rat)
Lineage: Eukaryota; Metazoa; Chordata; Mammalia; Rodentia; Muridae
Source: RefSeq, a predicted model, not a curated record